RNAcentral lists this ribosomal RNA (300 nucleotides) under Triticum aestivum (bread wheat). RNAcentral's name for it is "partial small subunit ribosomal RNA". The record is from RNAcentral. Lineage: Eukaryota; Viridiplantae; Streptophyta; Magnoliopsida; Poales; Poaceae.
AUGGCCCCCUCUCCUCCGGCUGCUGCUCCGGCGGCAGGAGGAAGGGGGGACCUGUUCCUCCGCUUUGUAGUUAUGGUUUGGAUUUGUAGGUCGUGGUGCGCCGUUGGGGUGAUGGGAGCGGCGCCCGGACGAAUAAAUCCGCCUCAACUUCCCUCCCACACCGGCGGUGCCCUUCAUGGCGGCGUCUCGGAGUUGAUGGCAUCUUGUGUUUGUCGAUCUUUCAGAUCGGCGGCGUUAAGGUUCAUGGAUGGUGUCGGCGAGGCGGCGGCGGUGGCGACUCCAUCAGGCAAACUACUUUGA